ACAGGGUAGUGGCACAUCCUGGAGAAAGCCCUGCUCUGGGAAUUUGAUUGUGCCUCCAGCCCCCCCUCUUCAAACCCUCUGCCCUGUCCAUUUGCCCUGAAAACCUCCUUAACAUGAGAACCUGCUUAUUUUUAUAGUAUUUGGGCAACACCAUACAACAGCAUCAGCCCUGUUUUCAAAUCAGCCCCUUUGAAUGCUGCAUUAGUAAGAAAAAGUUCCUUCUCUUCACUGAUACAUCUCCAGGCUCUUUACCAAGAAGAGUCUUUGUCUCCCUUUAGCAAACGUGGACACUGAAUUUACACAGGUGUCUUAGCCAAGUUCUUCCAGAGGAGAAACAGCAGCACAGCUGAAAGGUGUUUUAAGUCCCAUCCCAGUGAACCUUCCCAAGAACAGGAAUAAACAAAAGUUAUGUGCAUGUUGAAAAAAGUGUACAAGAUGGAGGAAAAGAGGAAGGUUAAAUCUAGGACGCAAGGCAGUGUGAUGUUCACAUCUCCCUCCUCUCCCACAGGUCACUUCCAGUGUCUGCCAGCCCAUCCCAACCUACACCCCCACCACAGUGGAGUGUUCAGGAUCUACUUGACACGUUUCUUGAAAAAACGAAGUGCUAAAAAAUCCAGGUGUCUCCUGUGCCUUGAUCACAAUCCUGAAUCCAAAGGGGUGAAAAUGUCUCCUCUCCUCUGCAAAACCACGCCGGUGUUCCCGAAGAAAGGAAAUCCCUAGCCAGUGAAGCAGAGCUGUUGCUGGGCUGUUGCUGCCAUCUUCUGCCCACCUGGAAUUUUGCUGCUCACAGCUUCCCCAGCUUUUUGCCCACGUGAAGGGGAAGGAGGUAAGGAAAAUGCAGGGGUGCAAGGGUUUAGGAAUGGGCUCGUGUUCCCUCAUCGGUCAGUGUGGGUGGAGAUCCAGGGGUGUGCCAUGGAGAGUGCCCCUUCAUGCCUUGGCACCCUGGUUGUGGGUGAGGGAUGCCGAGCUCUGCCGAUGGAGAAGGCACAGGCUGUGCCUGAGGAGUCACAUUCAGGAGAUGAAGGGGGUAAAUACACUCACUUAAUGCAAUUGCUAAGUGGACUGUUACUAGACACAGCGUGAGCUGUUCACGGUUCUUCCAGAAAACACAGGGAAAUCAAAUGUUUAAUUCAGAGAGAACAGCAGGACUACGUGAUUUCUCUCCUGACGCCCAUCCAAAAAGGGAUUUUUGGCAGGGAAGCAGAGUGAGUGGUGUGACUGGCACUAAAGCUGUGGCAGCAGAGCAUGUCGUUGAGCAGAAGGUGAGGCUACAGAGCCAUUGUUUUCCAAAA
Molecule: non-coding RNA, 1292 nt
Organism: Taeniopygia guttata (zebra finch)
Lineage: Eukaryota; Metazoa; Chordata; Aves; Passeriformes; Estrildidae
Source: RefSeq, a predicted model, not a curated record